Molecule: ribosomal RNA, 442 nt
Filed under: uncultured bacterium
Lineage: Bacteria
Description: bacterial SSU rRNA
Rfam family: Bacterial small subunit ribosomal RNA
Source: RNAcentral
UGGAGAUUCGUCAAAGUUGACUUGACUUAGUGGCGGACGGGUGAGUAAUGCGUGAGCAACCUGCCUUUCAGAGGGGGACAACAAUUGGAAACGACUGCUAAUACCGCAUAAUGUAUUUAGGAGGCAUCUCCCGGAUACCGAAAGGAGCAAUCCGCUGAAAGAUGGGCUCACGUCUGAUUAGCUAGUUGGUGAGGUAACGGCUCACCCAAGGCUGCGAUCAGUAGCCGGACUGAGAGGUUGAACGGCCACAUUGGGACUGAGAUACGGCCCAGACUCCUACGGGAGGCAGCAGUGGGGAAUAUUGGGCAAUGGGCGAAAGCCCUGACCCAGCAACGCCGCGUGAAGGAAGAAGGUCUUCGGAUUGUAAACUUCUUUUAUGAGGGACGAAGGACGUGACGGUACCUCAUGAAUAAGCCACGGCUAACUACGUGCCAGCAGCCGC